UACGUAGUGGGCGAGCGUUGUCCGGAUUUAUUGGGCGUAAAGAGCGUGUAGGCGGCCAGGUAGGUCUGCUGUGAAAACUCGAGGCUCAACCUCGAGACGUCGGCGGAAACCAUCUGGCUAGAGUCCGGAAGAGGAGAGUGGAAUUCCUGGUGUAGCGGUGAAAUGCGCAGAUAUCAGGAAGAACACCCGUGGCGAAGGCGGCUCUCUGGGACGGUACUGACGCUGAGACGCGAAAGCGUGGGGAGCGAACAGG
This 253-nucleotide ribosomal RNA is filed under the name uncultured bacterium. RNAcentral's name for it is "partial 16S ribosomal RNA". It matches the Rfam family "Bacterial small subunit ribosomal RNA", at positions 524 to 776 of the family's 1533-position model. The record is from RNAcentral.